RNAcentral lists this long non-coding RNA (1076 nucleotides) under Homo sapiens (human). RNAcentral's name for it is "non-protein coding LINC01971:6". The record is from RNAcentral. Lineage: Eukaryota; Metazoa; Chordata; Mammalia; Primates; Hominidae.
AGAGGACCGCAGCGGGCGGGGCGCGUGGUUCGAUCGCGCGCUACGCGCCUCGGGGACGCGGUCCGCGCCACCCCCAGCCGUCCCUGCCGUCCCGAGGCCCCCAGCGAGCGGCGCCGUGGCUUCGGGCGCGCGGGGCUCGGGGCCAUCGCCGGGUGCUGUGCGGUUCCCGGCUCGGAGGCGCUGGGCCGGCGUCGCGGCUGCCCCCUGCCCACGCGGGAGGGAAGCGAGCGGCGCUCAGGGACCAGGAGCGAAGGCCUUGCCACCUGGCGAGGCGGGGAGGCCAAGACAGGGUAUUUGAGGAGAAUUGAAUAAAUGGAAAAUACGUGAAUUAAAGGAGAGCUGUGCAGUACCCAGGGCCAGCAACAAAGGGGAGCUGUUACCCCCUGAGACCUGGAGGGCAGCUGGAGCCACAGGAGAGGCCGUCUCCAGGAGCCCUGACCUUGGAGAGGGACACAGCGACCCGGCAGGGAGGAGCUGCUGCUGUACACUGACCUCACCCCUCCUGACCGCUUGGCUUGUCUACCGGCUACGCAUUGGCUGAACUAGGUGGAGGCCAGGGAGCAACGAGGCCCCAUGGAUCCUGUACCUACAGUCAGCUUCCCGGGGCACAGAGCAGGGGCUGGCAUGGGGCAAUGGGAAGAUGUCCAGCACCUGUUUUGAAGUGUGAAUAAAAGCAUCGUAGAAAAUGUUGCUGUUUUGCUUUGUUUUGUGGAUGUGUAGCCCAUGCAGAGGCAGCCUAAGAUGGGGCACGACCAGGCUGGGCCCCGCCUCUUGCAGAUCCACUAGGAGCCACCCCAGAGCCAAGGGGACCUUCCUUGGAGGGUUUCCCAUCCUGAAAGUGAUGAGUCACAAAACGAGGCAGGACUGAGGACGAGGAAUGCCCCGUGUCAGCGCACGUGCACGGUGUUGUUCAGGCCCUCUUCCUGGGGGUCCUCCUGGAUGCUCCAAUGCUUGCCCAUCUUGGCAGCUGUCACAAGCCACUGCUGGGACUGUAAUUCCCCAGGGCAGGGACUGAUCCUGUUUGCUGUUGCCCCUUCAUGGGGCCUGUAUCUGGAAGGAGGAUGAAUCUGCCCGUG